AGAAAGCUGACUUGUCGACCAACAAGUGGUCUCCAAACCAGUGGGGAACUUCGCCCUUCCACCUCAGGAGUAAACACGAAAACGGGUGAAUAAAUAGUGAUUAUAAAAUUUAGAAUAUAGCAUUAGAUUUAAAAAUUUUGCAAAAAAAAAAAAAAAAGGCAGGUCCGAUUCCGUCCGAUGCGGUGUAAAAUCGAAAUCAGAAUUGGUUCGGUCCGGUUCCGGUCCGAUUUGUUGAAUUUUUUGAUGAACCAGUUUUUUUCACUAAUUCGGUCGGUGUUCCGGUUUUCCGGUCCCCGUAUGCCCACCCCUAGUUCUCAGAUCGUGUGAGUAAAGAGAGCAGGUUUUUGUCGAAGCUAAACAAUAAAAAAAAAAAGCGUAAAUCCCUUUAAAUAGAGAGAUGUUUGGGUGGUGGUGUAGUUUCUUUCCAAGUCAGUCAAGGUUACACUUCC
This 449-nucleotide long non-coding RNA is filed under the name Prunus persica (peach). Its description in RNAcentral is "long non-coding RNA (PPER_LNC006956)". Lineage: Eukaryota; Viridiplantae; Streptophyta; Magnoliopsida; Rosales; Rosaceae. The record is from RNAcentral.